This 576-nucleotide ribosomal RNA is filed under the name uncultured bacterium. Its description in RNAcentral is "bacterial SSU rRNA". It matches the Rfam family "Bacterial small subunit ribosomal RNA", at positions 1 to 575 of the family's 1533-position model. The record is from RNAcentral.
UUAGAGUUUGAUCCUGGCUCAGGAUGAACGCUAGCGGCAGGCUUAAUACAUGCAAGUCGAGGGGCAGCGCGGGUAGCAAUACUUGGCGGCGACCGGCAAACGGGUGCGGAACACGUACAGAACUUUCCUCUGAGUGUGGGAUAGCCCGGAGAAAUCCGGAUUAAUACCACAUAUUAUUUUGGAGUGGCAUCACUUUAAAAUUAAAGAUUUAUCGCUUAGAGAUGGCUGUGCGGCUGAUUAGGUAGUUGGUGUAGGUAAAGGCUCACCAAGCCAACGAUCAGUAACUGGUGUGAGAGCACGACCAGUCACACGGGCACUGAGACACGGGCCCGACUCCUACGGGAGGCAGCAGUAAGGAAUAUUGGUCAAUGGGGGCAACUCUGAACCAGCCAUGCCGCGUGAAGGAUGAACGCCCUCUGGGUUGUAAGCUUCUUUUAUCUGGGACGAAACACUCUUAUUCUUAAGAGCUUGACGGUACCAGAGGAAUAAGCACCGGCUAACUCCGUGCCAGCAGCCGCGGUAAUACGGGAGGGUGCAAGCGUUAUCCGGAUUCACUGGGUCUAAAGGGUGCGUAGG